UGACUCGUGCACACUAUGAUGGGCAAUGGC
This 30-nucleotide non-coding RNA is filed under the name Mus musculus (house mouse). The record is from RNAcentral. Lineage: Eukaryota; Metazoa; Chordata; Mammalia; Rodentia; Muridae.